UACGAAGGGUGCAAACGUUGCUCGGAAUUAUUGGGCGUAAAGCGCACGUAGGCGGCUUAGCAAGUCGGAAGUGAAAUCCCUCGGCUCAACCAAGGAAGUGCUUUCGAAACUGCUGAGCUUGAGUACGGAAGAGGAUCGCGGAAUUCCCGGUGUAGAGGUGAAAUUCGUAGAUAUCGGGAGGAACACCAAUGGCGAAAGCAGCUCUCUGGGACGGUACUGACGCUGAGACGCGAAAGCGUGGGGAGCGAACAGG
Molecule: ribosomal RNA, 253 nt
Filed under: uncultured bacterium
Lineage: Bacteria
Description: partial 16S ribosomal RNA
Rfam family: Bacterial small subunit ribosomal RNA
Source: RNAcentral